GGCUCGGGCAGCUUCCCAGCAGCUGUGCUGGGCGCACAGGACGGCACUCCAUACCCCAAAACAGGCGCUAGGAAGGAGCAAUUAAAACCACAAGUGCGACAGAGAGAUCGAGACGAGCCUAACGCCUUCCAGGAGUCGUCUAGUGGCAGAGUCAAGUACCUGGUUGUUGCUACAAAGCUUCACCGUGUGGUUCGCACCCCAGAAGAUAGAAGGCGCCGCGACAGCUCUGUCCUGCACCAGCCCUCCCCCCAGGCCUGGCGGAGCCAGCUUCGGCCACUGGAGCCUCGAGCUGGAGUGGCCAACCCGGCCUAGAGCGAUGCAAGCGGGGCCCUGGGAGCGGCAGCGGCGGCGGCGGCGGCGGCGGCGCGGCGGCCGAAGGAGCCCCGGCCGGGAAGUACCGACGCGUCUCUCCCGAGGCCGGGCCGCCUCGUCCGCUCUAGUCCAGCGGAGCCAAAGCGACUCGGACCAAUCCCCGGUGAUUAUGCAAGACGGCGGACC
RNAcentral lists this long non-coding RNA (498 nucleotides) under Heterocephalus glaber (naked mole-rat). Its description in RNAcentral is "lncRNA (ENSHGLG00000048909.1)". Lineage: Eukaryota; Metazoa; Chordata; Mammalia; Rodentia; Bathyergidae. The record is from RNAcentral.